CGGGGCGUAGCGCAGCUAGGUAGCGCGCAUGGUUCGGGACCAUGAGGCCGCUGGUUCAAAUCCAGUCGCCCCGACCA
Molecule: transfer RNA, 77 nt
Filed under: Candidatus Fermentithermobacillaceae bacterium
Lineage: Bacteria; Bacillati; Bacillota; Candidatus Fermentithermobacillia; Candidatus Fermentithermobacillales; Candidatus Fermentithermobacillaceae
Description: tRNA-Pro
Rfam family: tRNA
About the family: Transfer RNA (tRNA) molecules are approximately 80 nucleotides in length. Their secondary structure includes four short double-helical elements and three loops (D, anti-codon, and T loops). Further hydrogen bonds mediate the characteristic L-shaped molecular structure. tRNAs have two regions of fundamental functional importance: the anti-codon, which is responsible for specific mRNA codon recognition, and the 3' end, to which the tRNAs corresponding amino acid is attached (by aminoacyl-tRNA synthetases). tRNAs cope with the degeneracy of the genetic code in two manners: having more than one tRNA (with a specific anti-codon) for a particular amino acid; and 'wobble' base-pairing, i.e. permitting non-standard base-pairing at the 3rd anti-codon position.
Source: RNAcentral